This 126-nucleotide ribosomal RNA is filed under the name Podospora comata. The record is from RNAcentral. Lineage: Eukaryota; Fungi; Ascomycota; Sordariomycetes; Sordariales; Podosporaceae.
UCACAUACGACCAUAUCCAGUUGAAAGCUCGGGAUCCCGUCCGCUCUCCCCUCGAUAAGCAGCUGAGAGCCGAACUAGUACUCAGGUGGGUGACCACUGGGGAAUCCUCGGUGUUGUAUGUUUUUG